ACGUACACUCCUGCGGGAGGCAGCAGUGGGGAAUAUUGCACAAUGGGCGCAAGCCUGAUGCAGCCAUGCCGCGUGUAUGAAGAAGGCCUUCGGGUUGUAAAGUACUUUCAGCGGGGAGGAAGGCGAUAAGGUUAAUAACCUUGUCGAUUGACGGUACCCGCAGAAGAAGCACCGGCUAACUCCGUGCCAGCAGCCGCGGUAAUACGGAGGGUGCAAGCGUUAAUCGGAAUUACUGGGCGUAAAGCGCACGCAGGCGGUCUGUCAAGUCGGAUGUGAAAUCCCCGGGCUCAACCUGGGGACUGCAUUCGAAACUGGCAGGCUAGAGUCUUGUAGAGGGGGGUAGAAUUCCAGGUGUAGCGGUGAAAUGCGUAGAGAUCUGGAGGAAUACCGGUGGCGAAGGCGGCCCCCUGGACAAAGACUGACGGUCAGGUGCGAAAGCGUGGGGAGCAAACAGGAUUAGAAACCCGGGUAGGCCCAUG
Molecule: ribosomal RNA, 479 nt
Filed under: uncultured organism
Description: partial 16S ribosomal RNA
Rfam family: Bacterial small subunit ribosomal RNA
Source: RNAcentral